UACGUAGGGUGCAAGCGUUGUCCGGAAUUAUUGGGCGUAAAGAGCUCGUAGGCGGUUCGUCGCGUCGGCUGUGAAAACCUGAGGCUCAACCUCAGGCCUGCAGUCGAUACGGGCGGACUUGAGUACUGCAGGGGAGACUGGAAUUCCUGGUGUAGCGGUGAAAUGCGCAGAUAUCAGGAGGAACACCGGUGGCGAAGGCGGGUCUCUGGGCAGUAACUGACGCUGAGGAGCGAAAGCGUGGGGGAGCGAACAGG
RNAcentral lists this ribosomal RNA (254 nucleotides) under uncultured bacterium. RNAcentral's name for it is "partial 16S ribosomal RNA". It matches the Rfam family "Bacterial small subunit ribosomal RNA", at positions 524 to 776 of the family's 1533-position model. The record is from RNAcentral.